RNAcentral lists this ribosomal RNA (328 nucleotides) under uncultured eukaryote. RNAcentral describes it as "partial 18S ribosomal RNA". It matches the Rfam family "Eukaryotic small subunit ribosomal RNA", at positions 1470 to 1796 of the family's 1831-position model. The record is from RNAcentral.
CCCUUAGACGUUCUGGGCCGCACGCGCGCUACACUGACGGAGCCAGCGAGUAUAAACCUUGGCCGAGAGGUCUGGGAAAUCUUGUGAAACUCCGUCGUGCUGGGGAUAGAGCAUUGUAAUUAUUGCUCUUCAACGAGGAAUUCCUAGUAAGCGCAAGCCAUCAGCUUGCGUUGAUUACGUCCCUGCCCUUUGUACACACCGCCCGUCGCUACUACCGAUUGAAUGGCUUAGUGAGGCUUCCGGAUUGGUUUAGAGAAGGGGGCAACUCCAUCUUGGAACCGAGAAGCUAGUCAAACUUGGUCAUUUAGAGGAAGUAAAAGUCGUAACA